CAGUCGCCGCGGUAAAACCAGCACCUCGAGUGGUCAGGAGGUUUAUUGGGCCUAAAGCAUCCGUAGCCGGCUGCAUAAGUUUUCGGUUAAAUCUAUGCGCUUAACGUAUAGGCCGCCGAAAAUACUGUGCAGCUAGGGAGUGGGAGAGGUACACGGUACUCGAUAGGAAGGGGUAAAAUCCUUUGAUCUAUUGAUGACCACCUGUGGCGAAGGCGGUGUACCAGAACACGUUCGACGGUGAGGGAUGAAAGCUGGGGGAGCAAACCGGAUUAGAUACCCGCGUAGUCCCUGUCUCUUAUAA
RNAcentral lists this ribosomal RNA (301 nucleotides) under uncultured bacterium. RNAcentral's name for it is "partial 16S ribosomal RNA". It matches the Rfam family "Archaeal small subunit ribosomal RNA", at positions 459 to 760 of the family's 1478-position model. The record is from RNAcentral.